RNAcentral lists this ribosomal RNA (1503 nucleotides) under Cronobacter malonaticus. RNAcentral describes it as "bacterial SSU rRNA". It matches the Rfam family "Bacterial small subunit ribosomal RNA". Lineage: Bacteria; Pseudomonadati; Pseudomonadota; Gammaproteobacteria; Enterobacterales; Enterobacteriaceae. The record is from RNAcentral.
AGAGUUUGAUCCUGGCUCAGAUUGAACGCUGGCGGCAGGCCUAACACAUGCAAGUCGAACGGUAACAGGGAGCAGCUUGCUGCUUCGCUGACGAGUGGCGGACGGGUGAGUAAUGUCUGGGAAACUGCCUGAUGGAGGGGGAUAACUACUGGAAACGGUAGCUAAUACCGCAUAACGUCUUCGGACCAAAGUGGGGGACCUUCGGGCCUCAUGCCAUCAGAUGUGCCCAGAUGGGAUUAGCUAGUAGGUGGGGUAACGGCUCACCUAGGCGACGAUCCCUAGCUGGUCUGAGAGGAUGACCAGCCACACUGGAACUGAGACACGGUCCAGACUCCUACGGGAGGCAGCAGUGGGGAAUAUUGCACAAUGGGCGCAAGCCUGAUGCAGCCAUGCCGCGUGUAUGAAGAAGGCCUUCGGGUUGUAAAGUACUUUCAGCGGGGAGGAAGGCGUUGUGGUUAAUAACCACAGCGAUUGACGUUACCCGCAGAAGAAGCACCGGCUAACUCCGUGCCAGCAGCCGCGGUAAUACGGAGGGCGCAAGCGUUAAUCGGAAUUACUGGGCGUAAAGCGCACGCAGGCGGUUGAUUAAGUCAGAUGUGAAAUCCCCGGGCUCAACCUGGGAACUGCAUUUGAAACUGGUCAGCUUGAGUCUCGUAGAGGGGGGUAGAAUUCCAGGUGUAGCGGUGAAAUGCGUAGAGAUCUGGAGGAAUACCGGUGGUGAAGGCGGCCCCCUGGACGAAGACUGACGCUCAGGUGCGAAAGCGUGGGGAGCAAACAGGAUUAGAUACCCUGGUAGUCCACGCCGUAAACGAUGUCGACUUGGAGGUUGUGCCCUUGAGGCGUGGCUUCCGGAGCUAACGCGUUAAGUCGACCGCCUGGGGAGUACGGCCGCAAGGUUAAAACUCAAAUGAAUUGACGGGGGCCCGCACAAGCGGUGGAGCAUGUGGUUUAAUUCGAUGCAACGCGAAGAACCUUACCUGGUCUUGACAUCCAGAGAAUCCUGCGGAGAUGCGGGAGUGCCUUCGGGAACUCUGAGACAGGUGCUGCAUGGCUGUCGUCAGCUCGUGUUGUGAAAUGUUGGGUUAAGUCCCGCAACGAGCGCAACCCUUAUCCUUUGUUGCCAGCGGUUCGGCCGGGAACUCAAAGGAGACUGCCGGUGAUAAACCGGAGGAAGGUGGGGAUGACGUCAAGUCAUCAUGGCCCUUACGACCAGGGCUACACACGUGCUACAAUGGCGCAUACAAAGAGAAGCGACCUCGCGAGAGCAAGCGGACCUCAUAAAGUGCGUCGUAGUCCGGAUUGGAGUCUGCAACUCGACUCCAUGAAGUCGGAAUCGCUAGUAAUCGUGGAUCAGAAUGCCACGGUGAAUACGUUCCCGGGCCUUGUACACACCGCCCGUCACACCAUGGGAGUGGGUUGCAAAAGAAGUAGGUAGCUUAACCUUCGGGAGGGCGCUUACCACUUUGUGAUUCAUGACUGGGGUGAAGUCGUAACAAGGUAACC